GAUGAACGCUGGCGGCGUGCCUAACACAUGCAAGUCGAGCGGCAGCGAGGGGUGCUUGCACCCUGUCGGCGAGCGGCGGACGGCUGAGUAACGCGUGGGAACGUGCCCCAAAGUGAGGAAUAACUGCCCGAAAGGGUAGCUAAUACCGCAUAUUAUCUUCGGAUCAAAGGAUUUAUCCGCUUUGGGAGCGGCUCGCGUCGGAUUAGGUAGUUGGUGAGGUAAUGGCUCACCAAGCCGACGAUCCGUAGCUGGUCUGAGAGGAUGACCAGCCAGACUGGAACUGAGACACGGUCCAGACUCCUACGGGAGGCAGCAGUGAGGAAUCUUCCACAAUGGGCGAAAGCCUGAUGGAGCAACGCCGCGUGCAGGACGAAGGCCUUCGGGUUGUAAACUGCUUUUAUAGGUGAGGAAUAUGACGGUAACUUAUGAAUAAGGAUCGGCUAACUACGUG
Molecule: ribosomal RNA, 451 nt
Filed under: uncultured bacterium
Lineage: Bacteria
Description: partial 16S ribosomal RNA
Rfam family: Bacterial small subunit ribosomal RNA
Source: RNAcentral